UUUCUACCCUCUUUGGAAUAUUCUGACUUGCAAGGAAAGCACUUUCCUUGGAAGGUGGUGCAAGGCAAGUGAGAUGCUUACCUUAUGGAUCCCUGCCCCCACAGGAAAAUCCUAACAGUUCCAGAAGCCAAAAAUACUUAUAAAAAUCCAGCUUUACAAGGAUCCUUCUGCAUGCAGCAGAGAGGUGGAUGACACCACAUACACUGCCACAGCUCUUCUCCCAUCAUCUGGGACUCAAGACUCGUUUCACAUCCCACUGGGAGUACAGCACCAUGGGCUGCUCACUGGCAGCAAUGCAGAGGUCCCUGGCAAACCUUAUGCAAAUUAUCCCAGUGACAAAUGAGGGAGGUGAGAAAAACAAUAGAUCCAGAUUAAUACUAAAUUAAAUAAACCCGUUUCCAAAG
Taeniopygia guttata (zebra finch) is the source of this 404-nucleotide non-coding RNA. The record is from RefSeq and is a predicted model, not a curated record. Lineage: Eukaryota; Metazoa; Chordata; Aves; Passeriformes; Estrildidae.